GCAUGGAAUUCUUUGCAAAGGGUGAAGGAAUAUUGAGGUCACUUCCUAAAUGAAUGUAUGAUAGCACGGGAUUCCCUUUUGAAUACAAGUAUGUGCAUAAUGUAAAUAUCUUGCCAAUAUGCAUAAGUGUGAGUGAAACAAUGAAAGUUUGUAUGGUAUAUAUAUUUCAAGUGUGUGUAGGUAGUUUGUG
Glycine soja is the source of this 190-nucleotide long non-coding RNA. RefSeq lists it as uncharacterized. The record is from RefSeq and is a predicted model, not a curated record. NCBI's taxonomy places the organism in Eukaryota, Viridiplantae, Streptophyta, Magnoliopsida, Fabales, Fabaceae. The transcript has 3 exons.